UACGUAGGGUGCAAGCGUUGUCCGGAAUUAUUGGGCGUAAAGAGCUCGUAGGCGGUCUGUUGCGUCGGCUGUGAAAACCCGAGGCUCAACCUCGGGCCUGCAGCCGAUACGGGCAGACUAGAGUUCGGCAGGGGAGACUGGAAUUCCUGGUGUAGCGGUGAAAUGCGCAGAUAUCAGGAGGAACACCAAUGGCGAAGGCAGAUCUCUGGGCCGUAACUGACGCUGAGGAGCGAAAGCAUGGGGAGCGAACAGG
Molecule: ribosomal RNA, 253 nt
Filed under: uncultured bacterium
Lineage: Bacteria
Description: partial 16S ribosomal RNA
Rfam family: Bacterial small subunit ribosomal RNA
Source: RNAcentral